GCCAGCGAGGCCCACUCUCUGAGCGGGACAAAACACACACACACACACACACACACACACACACACACACUCACACUGGUAAUCAAGACAGAAUCUCCCUCGUAGGCCACAGUCAAAAGUGGGGAGGAGGGAGAGGGAGGAGAGGGUCGAGGGGGAAAAGGGGAGAGAGACACAGAGACUGAGAGACAGAGGCAGAGACAGAGAGGCAGAGGCAGAGACAGAGAGGCAGACCCAGAGACAGAGAGAGACAGAAAGAGAUAGAGAAACAGAAAGACAGAGAGAGGGAGAGCGCAACUAGUCUCUCUCAUCUCUCUCCUCACCCCACCCCCUCAACCCGGGGCCCUCUCCCCCACUUUCACUUUAUUUCCAUGAUUAGUGUGACCAAAAUUAAUGAAUUAAUGGCUCCUAAUCGGGGCUGGCACGGGGGAAGUUUAGUUUGUUACUUUUAUUGAUUGUUUUGGGCGAGGGGGGAGAGGGAGGAGGAGGUGGGGAGGCAGAGGAGUUUCGAGGCAGCGUCUCUGUCUCCCCUCGAGGUCUCCAAGCCCGGGUCCUCUCAGUCGGCAGCAGGAAGGGUGUGAACAGCACAAACGUGAUUUUAUACCUCAAGUGGGCAUACUAUCUCUCUGGCUUGAAGGGUGAAAGAGGAGUCCAGGAACAAGAGGUUUAUCCCAAUCACUUGGAUCUUCAAAGGUGGUUUCUUCCAGGUAUGCCUUCAAGCUUGUUGGAUUUCCGGAAGUUUGUGGCUCUUCCUGCACAUUUUACACUCAUGCAGUAGAACUUUGAGGUGGGCUUAGCCAGUGAGUAGUCCUGCAUAGUAGUAGGGGUGCUGGACAUAGGAC
RNAcentral lists this long non-coding RNA (839 nucleotides) under Ornithorhynchus anatinus (platypus). RNAcentral's name for it is "lncRNA (ENSOANG00000047560.1)". Lineage: Eukaryota; Metazoa; Chordata; Mammalia; Monotremata; Ornithorhynchidae. The record is from RNAcentral.